Molecule: long non-coding RNA, 1209 nt
Organism: Asterias rubens (European starfish)
Lineage: Eukaryota; Metazoa; Echinodermata; Asteroidea; Forcipulatida; Asteriidae
Exons: 2
Source: RefSeq, a predicted model, not a curated record
ACAUUUUCUCCAAACCCGACACAAGUCAGACAGGGGACGAUAUUUGAUCGAAAUAUUUCUGACUGAUAUUGCAACUAAACCUGAUAUUCAAAAUGAGAUCUGCUGUGAUUCUGUUGGUGGUCAUGAUCGUCGGGUGUGCAUUGGUGUCUGCAGACAAGCCAGCAAGAGAGUGGGUUACUCCACAAAAUGCCGGCAGAGGUAGAGGUGAAGACUCGUGUGAAGGUGGUAAAUGCAGUGGCGAAGGAGCGCAGAUGAAACGUCGAAUGGCCAGGAGAGCAGCACGGAGCGCAGAACGUGAAGAUGCAUAGAAGCGGGUUCCAUCAGUCCCGACAGCAAGGCAUUCCAGCCUGGAAUUCUUGGGGGAAGAGAGAGAGAGGCCUUCGAGAUUCUAAUUGUAGCAAUAUUACUUGACAUUUUUAAUUAGUUAAUGAUACACACUUAAACUCUUUAUAAUGAACUGGUCACAAUCUGGCUCUCCUCACAACCACAUAGUAAUCUGCGAUUACUUACCACAGCUUACCUAGUCUUGAUUUGAGACGUUUCAUUCGUUCACGAGCCGCUGAUUUCAUUAGGGUAUCAAACAAACAUGUACAGACCCUCCUUGGCCAAUUAAUGUAGCGCCAUCUACCGGUGACUAUACUAAAACGAGCGUCUCUAAUCAAGACUAUAGAUAACCCUGCCGGUUAUUAUCGGCAGGGGCGUGUAUGGUAAUGGUACAAUGCCAAUUUGCCGACUUCUGGGUGUAUGAUAAUUAUGUCAUUUUAUUUUGGAAAUCAGUUUGCCGACUCGCUGAUUUCAUUUGUUCAUUCUCCUGUAGACGAGCAGGGUAUACUGUUCGAAGCGUCGAGACCACACCGGCUAUUUUCAGAGCCCGGCUCUUUUCAGAGCCCGGCUCUUUUCAGAGCCCGGCUCUUUUCAGAGCCCGGCUCUUUUCAGAGCCCGGCUCUUUACAGAGAUUUACACAGUGUUGUACCCACAAGUUAACUAUUUAUUUUAUAGUGUCUUCCUUUUCGUAAUUAUUUUGUUUUCUUCAGUGAUCUGUUACCAAUGCUUGAGCGCCUAACGACUUUCUGACAAGAAAGUUUUGAGGCGCUUGAUAAACAUUUAAAAGAGUCAACCUUUGCCCCUAUUGUGUUCUUUGUAGUCCAUGAUUCCUAAAGAUACACAGCUGUGCUUAAAAAUAAAGAUAAUAAGGCCAAAGUAGACAAA